UGUAAAGGAAUCUGCCUUCUAGUAGAGGACAUAAAAAUAAAUACUCUAUAUAAUGAAAGAUAAAGAUCGCUAGAAGAGGAGCCUUUAUAGGAUUAGGUAGUAGGUAGGGUAAAAGCCUACCUAGCCAAAGAUCCUUAGCUGGUCUGAGAGGAUGUACAGCCACACUGGGACUGAAACAAGGCUCAGACUUCCACGGAAGGCUGCAGUAGGGAAUUCUGGACAAUGGGCGAAAGCUUGAUCCGGUGAUACCAGAUAAGUGAAGAAGGUUAAAUCUGUAAAACUUGAUUACUAAAGAGGAUG
RNAcentral lists this ribosomal RNA (300 nucleotides) under uncultured bacterium. Its description in RNAcentral is "bacterial SSU rRNA". It matches the Rfam family "Bacterial small subunit ribosomal RNA", at positions 114 to 450 of the family's 1533-position model. The record is from RNAcentral.